AUUGAACGCUGGCGGCAGGCUUAACACAUGCAAGUCGAGCGGGGUGAUGGUGCUUGCACUAUCACUUAGCGGCGGACGGGUGAGUAAUGCUUAGGAAUCUGCCUAUUAGUGGGGGACAACAUCUCGAAAGGGAUGCUAAUACCGCAUACGUCCUACGGGAGAAAGCAGGGGAUCACUUGUGACCUUGCGCUAAUAGAUGAGCCUAAGUCGGAUUAGCUAGUUGGUGGGGUAAAGGCCUACCAAGGCGACGAUCUGUAGCGGGUCUGAGAGGAUGAUCCUCCACACUGUGACUGAGACACGGCCCAGGCUCCUACGGGAGGCAGCAGUGGGGAAUAUUGGACAAUGGGGGGAACCCUGAUCCAGCCAUGCCGCGUGUGUGAAGAAGGCCUUAUGGUUGUAAAGCACUUUAAGCGAGGAGGAGGCUCUUUUGGUUAAUACCCAAGAUGAGUGGACGUUACUCGCAGAAUAAGCACCGGCUAACUCUGUGCCAGCCGCCGCAGUAA
This 503-nucleotide ribosomal RNA is filed under the name uncultured bacterium. Its description in RNAcentral is "partial 16S ribosomal RNA". It matches the Rfam family "Bacterial small subunit ribosomal RNA", at positions 30 to 523 of the family's 1533-position model. The record is from RNAcentral.